This 465-nucleotide ribosomal RNA is filed under the name uncultured bacterium. RNAcentral describes it as "partial 16S ribosomal RNA". It matches the Rfam family "Bacterial small subunit ribosomal RNA", at positions 338 to 795 of the family's 1533-position model. The record is from RNAcentral.
CCUACGGGUGGCAGCAGUGGGGAAUAUUGCGCAAUGGGCGAAAGCCUGACGCAGCGACGCCGCGUGAGGGAUGAAGGUCUUCGGAUCGUAAACCUCUGUCAGCAGGGAAGAACGGUCACUGUGCUAAUCAGCAGUGAAUUGACGGUACCUGCAAAUGAAGCAACGGCUAACUCCGUGCCAGCAGCCGCGGUAAUACGGAGGGGGCGAGCGUUAAUCGGAAUUACUGGGCGUAAAGCGCGCGUAGGCGGUAUGUCAAGUCAAGGGUGAAAUCCCCGCGCUCAACGUGGGAGGUGCCUUUGAAACUGGCAAACUUGAGUGUGUGAGAGGAGAGUGGAAUUCCAGGUGUAGGGGUGAAAUCCGUAGAUAUCUGGAGGAACAUCAGUGGCGAAGGCGACUAUCUGGCACAUAACUGACGCUGAGGAGCGAAAGCGUGGGUAGCAAACAGGAUUAGAUACCCGUGUAGUC